CACACAGCGAGUGGCGCACUUGCUAAAGGUGGGAUACUUCACGAUCUGGGAGAAAUCUCAGUGCCACCAGCGAGACAGAGCGAGCAUAUAUCUACGAAGCUAGGUCGGCUUUCCAGGCCGAACACGAUCGAGGAAUUCGUCGUAAAAGACGAAAAAUAAUUAAACGAGAAAGAGCGAGAGAGAUAUACAGGGAUGUUUAAAAGAGAAAAAAGAUCUGAGAGGGAAAGAAAAAUGCAGGAGAGAUUUAUUAUCGAGCACGAAAAUAGGAAGAAAAUAGAAGCUAGUCGGACUCAUUCGUGUACGUACACAUGCAAAGAGGGGAACCUGCCGUUGACUUCUGGCGACUGUGGGACAAAGAGAAAAUGUUACGCAGUACGAGCAACAUGUGAGUAAAAUAGCAUCAAUUUAUACAUUCAAAACUAGUCAAAACUGUACUUCUCGUAUAAUACCAUCCGCAUAUUUUAAAGACAGUGUCCUAUAAAUACGUGAAGUAUCGUAAAGUUCCUGAAACCCGAAGCUAUUAUACAGGGUGUAUCAAAAAAAGCGCAAUCCUCGACUGAAAUGUAAAUUGCUAAACAAAUAAUACACGAAAACGUUAAAGUUUACAUUCAUUUUAAAGCGUAGCCAUUCAGCUUUCUAACAGUGGGU
Paramuricea clavata is the source of this 648-nucleotide non-coding RNA. Lineage: Eukaryota; Metazoa; Cnidaria; Anthozoa; Malacalcyonacea; Plexauridae. The record is from the annotation of a GenBank genome assembly.